RNAcentral lists this long non-coding RNA (2665 nucleotides) under Leptinotarsa decemlineata (Colorado potato beetle). Its description in RNAcentral is "uncharacterized LOC111501992, transcript variant X2". The record is from RNAcentral. Lineage: Eukaryota; Metazoa; Arthropoda; Insecta; Coleoptera; Chrysomelidae.
AUUCAUAUAGAAAGGAAAACAGCUCCUCUGAACAUGUCUACAAUCCUGAGAAGUUUAAAUAUUAGCAUAAUAAAAAUUAUAUGUAAAUUCAUGGAGUAUAACCAUAUCAAAUUAUAAUAGCGGGAGAAGGGGGUACACCCACUCUUCAUCUCAAAUUUAUUAGUUUCAAUCCUAAUAUCACAACCUAUGUAUGUAUUCUUUGUCCGGUGAAAAUCUACAAGCAAAUGAAAAUAGAACGCAGAUAUUCAAGCCAGAAGUUUCAAUUAGGCAAGAAAACCUCGAUUCAUGUGGACUAAAUGUCUAUCAACAACAUACAGACGUAGUUUGCGUUGAGCAAGACACACUACGUCCCCGGACGAAGUGACUGUUUCAUAAUAUCGAUUAUGCAAUAGGAGGAUACUGGUCUACUACGCCGAAAGUAAGCAAAGACCAUAAAAAAAGAGAAGAAGAAGAUUAUCUGUUUUCUGUGUUUUAGUGUUUUUCUAUGCUGUAUUUUUUUUUAUCUUUCUUGAUCCUUGAUACUAUUAUUAUUUCUAUCAAAGAAUAUUUUGUGUUUCUAUUUUCUAUUGUCAUUCACUUGAAGCACUGUAUAGAAAUAAACGCAAGUAAGUAAAGUUCACUCUCCGCAAUAUUUGGGUCAAGAUUCUCCACCUCGAAUUAUAUGCUUAGCCGACCUAGUGAUUUGGUUUCAAUUGCUGGAUGGGUAUUAUCACAGGAAAACUUUUGGAGCCAAUAAUUUUCGACUGACAAUUGAGUGCGAAAAGAUAUCUGUAGUUCCUUAGAAAUCAAAUUAACGAUUUCAUUGAAGAUUUGCCACUGGCUAACCAAGUUGAUAUCUAUUUUCAACAAGAUGGAGCGCCACCUCACAAUUCUCAAGUCCUAAGAGAACAUCUGAAUGACACCUUCCCAGAAAAGUGGAUUGGCACUUAUGGACCUAUUCGGUGGCCUACGAGAUCACCAGAUCUCACUCCACUAGAUUUUUUCUCUGGGAAACAAUUAAAAAUCAGGUUUACAAUACAACAUCAGCUACUCCUGAAGAACUAUAGCAUAAAGUAAGGGUGGCAUUCGAGAACAUCACUGAGGAUUAGGCCAUUUUGAGGAGUGAAUUGUUGGGAAUAUUUUUUUAAAAGUGUGUAGGUUGUGUAUUACAUUGAUGUAUACUAUUCAUGAUAAAUGAAGGUCAUCCAAAAAGACAAAACAAUUUUUGAUCUUGUUUACAAGUUACUAUACAGGAGAAAAUUUCGGAACUACAUGUGACGUAAAAGAGAGAAUCACAGUAAAUUGGUGUAAUUUGAAUUUCUAAACUCUAUGUUCAGCCCAGAAAAAAUCAAUUAUUGCUUAGCACAUUUUGUAUAGCUAUUUACAGUGCAUUAUUUUGCUAAUAUAUACCAUCAGUGAAAUAUGUUUUACCAAAUGAGUUAACAGCUACUAACAAACAAUACAUCACAUUGUACUUAUAGGUUGGCCCAGAGUUCAACUGUAGCGUUGCUGUUUCCAUUUAGGACAACGUUGAAUUAGAAAGAUUCAAAAUCUUGGACAAGUGACUGAAUACUAUGUAGUGUCCGAUCGAAAGUUCGGUUUUGGUCUAGUUUCGGCAUAAAAACGGGUUUUGGUGGCAAACCUACCGAAACUGCAUUCGGGAGUUCCUGCGCUGUGAUCGGUCAUGUUCGGCUCGUUAAAUUUCAUACGAGUGAUAUUAGGUAACAACUCAAAUAAGUAAUUUUAUGUUAAAUAUUUUUGAAAACCCGCCAAUAUUCAAAAGAAUCUAAACCUUCUCAAAUAAACACCUCAUCUAUUUUAAGUAUUUUUAGAUGCAAUUGAUAUUUUUUCUUGAAUAAGGGUUUUUUAUACAUAACAUGAACAUCUGUGAGUAAGUGAACACGUGCAUCGCCGGAGUCCCGACAGAAACUAAAGUUUUAGUGUUUUUUUACUGAUAAAAAUUUCUAAUUUCACAUCAAAACAUCCGUGAAACUACAGCGAAUAAAUAACCUAGUGAAGAUGAAAAUCAGUUUUUAAGCCUGAGUUAGUAAUAAUUUAAUAAUAUCUUCAAUCAAUUCAAUUGGGCCUAAACCAAAAGGUGGUUGAAAUUAGCCACAUCUGGCAAGACAAGUGAAUGAAUAACACCGAGGUGUAUCUUGGUGUGUGUGUGUGUGGUCGCCUUAACCCGUAAUUAUCAAGCCGGAUUCAGACAUUCAACACUAAACAUUCAGACAAAGUCUGCUUUAUUCCAGUGGUUUGAGGCAAAAUUCCAGAUCAAAUAAACGAGGAACGCGUGCUGAAUGUGUUUGUGUUCAUAAAAAAAAGUAAUGAUAUGAGUAUCCUCAAUGAAACAAUUUACGAAUUAUUAACUGAAAUAAAGCAACAAAACAAAAAUAUAGGUAGACAGAAUAAUACAAUUAAAAAAGACAUUGAUAUUUUGAAUCAUAAACUAACUACCUUACAAACUGAACUAGCUCAAUUGAAAAAAAUAAAUGUGGAGUUAUUAAAAGAGAAUGGCUGGAUGAAGAAGAAAACCAACAGUCUAGAAAAACAUUCUAAGAAAUAUAACCUAUUCAUAACCAGCUUAGCAAGAAAAAAAUACCAAAGAAGAUAUCUAUACCCUAUUGAGAAACAAACUCGGAAUCGAAUAUUCUGAAAGUGACAUCGGAGAUACAUAUAGGGUUGG